This 481-nucleotide ribosomal RNA is filed under the name uncultured bacterium. Its description in RNAcentral is "partial 16S ribosomal RNA". It matches the Rfam family "Bacterial small subunit ribosomal RNA", at positions 28 to 507 of the family's 1533-position model. The record is from RNAcentral.
GAUGAACGCUGGCGGCGUGCUUAACACAUGCAAGUCGAACGAAGCACUUUAUUUGAUUUCCUUCGGGACUGAUUAUUUUGUGACUGAGUGGCGGACGGGUGAGUAACGCGUGGGUUACCUGCCUUGUACAGGGGGAUAACAGUUGGAAACGGCUGCUAAUACCGCAUAAGCGCACAGCAUCGCAUGAUGCAGUGUGAAAAACUCCGGUGGUAUAAGAUGGACCCGCGUUGGAUUAGCUAGUUGGUGAGGUAACGGCCCACCAAGGCGACGAUCCAUAGCCGACCUGAGAGGGUGACCGGCCACAUUGGGACUGAGACACGGCCCAAACUCCUACGGGAGGCAGCAGUGGGGAAUAUUGCACAAUGGGCGAAAGCCUGAUGCAGCGACGCCGCGUGAGCGAAGAAGUAUUUCGGUAUGUAAAGCUCUAUCAGCAGGGAAGAUAAUGACGGUACCUGACUAAGAAGCACCGGCUAAAUACGUG